UCCUGCCGGAGGUCACUGCUAUCGGGGUUCGACUAAGCCAUACGAGUCGAAAGAGGGUUCGGCCCUCGGCGUACUGCCCAGUAACACGUGGAUAACCUGCCCUAAGGAAGGGAAUACCCCCGGGAAACUGGGGAUAAUGCCCUAUAGGUUACCGAUGCUGGAAUGCUCGGUAACCGAAAGUUCCGGCGCCUUAGGAUGGAUCUGCGGCCGAUUAGGUUGUUGUCGGGGUAACGGCCCAACAAGCCGAUAAUCGGUACGGGUUGUGGGAGCAAGAGCCCGGAGUUGGAUUCUGAGACACGAAUCCAGGCCCUACGGGGCGCAGCAGGCGCGAAAACUUUACAAUGCGGGCAACGCGUGAUAAGGGAACCUCGAGUGCCUGUAUAUGCAGGCUGUCCAGGUGUCUAAAACACACCUGAAGAAAGGGCCGGGCAAGACCGGUGCCAGCCGCCGCGGUAAUACCGGCUGCUCGAGUGAUAGCCGCUUUUACUGGGCUUAAAGCGUUCGUAGCUUGGUCGUUAAGUCUCUGGGGAAAUCCUUUUGGCUCAACCAAAAGGCGUCUCAGGGAAACUGGCGAUCUUGGAACC
This 584-nucleotide ribosomal RNA is filed under the name uncultured Methanoculleus sp. RNAcentral's name for it is "bacterial SSU rRNA". It matches the Rfam family "Archaeal small subunit ribosomal RNA", at positions 12 to 600 of the family's 1478-position model. Lineage: Archaea; Methanobacteriati; Methanobacteriota; Methanomicrobia; Methanomicrobiales; Methanomicrobiaceae. The record is from RNAcentral.